CAGAUUAUAGUUUAACUAAAAUUCUAGCUUUGGGAGCUAAUAAUCGGCUUCUGCCGUGAUCUGA
This 64-nucleotide transfer RNA is filed under the name Platynereis dumerilii (Dumeril's clam worm). RNAcentral's name for it is "tRNA-Pro". Lineage: Eukaryota; Metazoa; Annelida; Polychaeta; Phyllodocida; Nereididae. The record is from RNAcentral.